GAUGAACGCUGGCGGCGUGCUUAACACAUGCAAGUCGAACGGUGAAGGCGGAGCUUGCUCUGCUGGAUCAGUGGCGAACGGGUGAGUAACACGUGAGCAAUCUGCCCCUGACUCUGGGAUAAGCGCUGGAAACGGCGUCUAAUACUGGAUACGAGCUGCGAAGGCAUCUUCAGCAGCUGGAAAGAACUUCGGUCAGGGAUGAGCUCGCGGCCUAUCAGCUUGUUGGUGAGGUAACGGCUGACCAAGGCGGCGACGGGUAGCAGGCCUGAGAGGGUGACCGGCCACACUGGGACUGAGACACGGCCCAGACUCCUACGGGAGGCAGCAGUGGGGAAUAUUGCACAAUGGGCGAAAGCCUGAUGCAGCAACGCCGCGUGAGGGACGACGGCCUUCGGGUUGUAAACCUCUUUUAGCAGGGAAGAAGCGAAAGUGACGGUACCUGCAGAAAAAGCGCCGGCUAACUACGUG
RNAcentral lists this ribosomal RNA (468 nucleotides) under uncultured bacterium. Its description in RNAcentral is "partial 16S ribosomal RNA". It matches the Rfam family "Bacterial small subunit ribosomal RNA", at positions 28 to 507 of the family's 1533-position model. The record is from RNAcentral.